Molecule: ribosomal RNA, 465 nt
Filed under: uncultured bacterium
Lineage: Bacteria
Description: partial 16S ribosomal RNA
Rfam family: Bacterial small subunit ribosomal RNA
Source: RNAcentral
GAUGAACGCUGGCGGCGUGCUUAACACAUGCAAGUCGAACGGAAAGGCUCCUGCUUGCAGGGGUACUCGAGUGGCGAACGGGUGCGUAACACGUGGGUGAUCUGCCCUGCACUUCGGGAUAAGCCUGGGAAACUGGGUCUAAUACCGGAUCGGACGAUGGUUUGGAUGCCAUUGUGGAAAGUUUUUCGGUUUGGGAUGAGCUCGCGGCCUAUCAGCUUGUUGGUGGGGUAAUGGCAUACCAAGGCGUCGACGGGUAGCCGGCCUGAGAGGGUGUACGGCCACAUUGGGACUGAGAUACGGCCCAGACUCCUACGGUAGGCAGCAGUGGGGAAUAUUGCACAAUGGGCGCAAGCCUGAUGCAGCGACGCCGCGUGGGGGAUGACGGCCUUCGGGUUGUAAACUCCUUUCGCUAGGGACGAAGCGCAAGUGACGGUACCUGGAGAAGAAGCACCGGCUAACUACGUG